CCUACGGGGGGCAGCAGUGGGGAAUAUUGUACAAUGGGCGAAAGCCUGAUGCAGCAACGCCGCGUGAAGGAAGACGGUUUUCGGAUUGUAAACUUCUGUUCUUAGUGAAGAAUAAUGACGGUAACUAAGGAGCAAGCCACGGCUACUACGUUCCAGCAGCCGCGGUUAUACGUAGGGGGCAAGCGGUGUCCGGAAUUACUGGGUGUUAAGGGAGCGUAGGCGGGAAGGCAAGGUAGCUGUGAAAACUACGGGCUUAACCUGUUGACUGCAGUUGAAACUGGCCUUCUUGAGUGAAGUAGAGGUAGGCGGAAUUCCGAGUGUAGCGGUGAAAUGCGUAGAUAUUCGGAGGAACACCGGUGGCGAAGGCGGCCAACUGGGCUUUAACUGACGCUGAGGCUCGAAAGUGUGGGGAGCAAACAGGAUUAGAUACCCCUGUAGUC
RNAcentral lists this ribosomal RNA (440 nucleotides) under uncultured bacterium. RNAcentral describes it as "partial 16S ribosomal RNA". It matches the Rfam family "Bacterial small subunit ribosomal RNA", at positions 338 to 795 of the family's 1533-position model. The record is from RNAcentral.